Long non-coding RNA from Hypanus sabinus (Atlantic stingray), 662 nucleotides. RefSeq lists it as uncharacterized. NCBI's taxonomy places the organism in Eukaryota, Metazoa, Chordata, Chondrichthyes, Myliobatiformes, Dasyatidae. The transcript is spliced from 3 exons. The record is from RefSeq and is a predicted model, not a curated record.
UUCUACACACAGCUAUAUAGCAGAUUUAAAGCCCCCGGGAAUCCACAGCCUUCUUCCUUUUCCAUUUAACCAGCCUGGCGCUGUGGAGUGCGCGACUCUGACACAACUCGAGACUUGCACAGGGGAGCUGACUCCAACACCGAAAACACUGAUGGAGGAACAGUCGCCUGAAGUGCCCCCAGAGACUCGGCAGAAGGAAGUUGACAGCCCUUACACUGGCCAUUGCACACAAAGUGACGGGACCAAGAGGACAGCAUUUAAACAAAAGCAGGAGUAGGCUCUAAGGCUUCUGGAGUCUUCAUCAUUCAAUGGAUUUAUGGCUGAUUCUGUACUUGGCUUAUUCCUUUCCAUACAUACCCCAAUUUCCCGGAAUCCAACCAUCUGCAGAGUUUAACUGAAUGAGCAUCCAGAUCUCCUGAGGUUCUGCACCAGCUCCAGACGAAUAUGGUGUUCUCAGUAUCUGGUUUAUUACCACUGACACAUGUUAUUUGUUCACAAACAAGAGAAAAUGUACAGAUGCUGGAAAUCCAAGCAAAACACACAAAAUGCUGGAGGAAACGUCAGGCCGAAAGGUCGACUGUACUCUUUUCUGUACGUGCUGCCUGGCCUGCUGAGUUCCUCCAGCAUUUUGUGUGUGUUGUUAUGAAAUUUUCUGUAGCAGU